UAUGAUAUUUAAGAAUUCUAGUUUAUUUAUGUUCGGCAGAUUAAAUCAGGAUGAAAAUAAAAUUAUUGACAACAUUUUGCAUAUAUUCGCAACUGGUAAGAAACAUAAUCAUCCCAAACAAGGACAAGCGCGCACUCUACAUCAACACUAAAGUAGAUGAUAACUGCAAGAGCAUCCACAAAUUUAACAGCAGAAUUUAUGCAAACAAUCCGUAGUAAUUUUUUAUGGAAAACCAACGAAGCUGUGUCAUGGGGUUGCGAGCCCUUCGAUGCAUAAGGAAAUAAAUCAAAUCUUAGCGGCAAAGGAAAGACCUUCCUUUGUCAGCUGAUCCAAAUUCUGUAUAGACGGUUGGACUCUCGCAACUUUAGCAAUAGCCUUGUUUUCAUCGGGACUUCCACCUUCCAGAAAAGCUCCAACAACCUUACGAUCCUUGAUCCAGUAUGAUCCAAACUUUGGCUUGGGCGAUUUUGGAUCAUUGUCUCCAAAGAGCACAGUGUCACCAACAUUGUCACCAUAGAAUUGCCAGGACAGAUCAAAGGCACGAGAGUAGAAGUACGGAAGGUAGUCAUACUCUUCAACCGUUUUUCCUUCCUCACUUGAUUUAAUGGCCUGCACAGCCUGCUCAGCUGAUUUGCGGGCAUGGUCAACAUGUUCAACUCUUCUGAUCUCAUUGUACAACUUCAAAGGAAAAGUAGCAACAUCACCAACGGCAUACACAUCAGGCACACUUGUUCUGAAAAACGCAUCAGUCUUUAUUCCACCCUUCUCCUCUGCAACCUGUCCCUUGAAUAAUGUUGUAAGUGGCCUUCCACCAACACCCACAACAACAAUGUCAGCUUCCAACACCCUACCAUCCUUAAGUUUCACUUCCUUUACCUCCCCAUUUGAAUCAGCUGUAAACCCAACUGCUACUGUUCCCUUGAUAAUGUUGAUUCCCUUAAUAGCAUAAUAACCCUCAUAGAAAGCAGCUAUGUCAGCAGUGAAAAGGCGAGGCAUGCACCAUGGUUCAGGAUAAACCAUGCUGACAUCAAUAUUGUUAAUUCUCAGUGCCGCACUAAGUUCAAGUCCAAUGUAUCCUCCUCCAACGACAACAGCUUUUCCAUUCUUCUUUGCUUUAAUUGCCUCUACAAGCUUAUCAGCGUCAUCAAUUUCUCUCAAGUAGAAGAUAUUCUUGGCAUCAGCUCCUUGGACACCAAAAUCUGACAAUUUUAUAACAGUGGAACCUGUAGCAAUUAUCAAAAUCUGAUACUUGAAGAUUUCUCCAGCUGCACUUGUGAGAGUCUUGGUAGCAAGAUCUGCUUUGACUAUUUCUGUGCUAAGUAUCAACUCUAUCCCUGCAAGUAUCAAACCCGGAGGCCAGAGAGUAAUAUUUUACCUUUGGCAAUUUAACCUUUUGGAAACUUACAAAAAUUAAAUGGGACGUAACAAAACUAAUAAACGAGUAAUAACAAAUUGGACUUAUUAUUUCAGCCAAUCUUCUGUCGGUGACCAAAUUCUCGUACAUUAUACAAGAGGGUUAAGAUAGUAUCACCUUUCUCUUUGUACCAUUCAGGAGCUAGCCUCUCCCCUCCACUUCCAACACAUACAUGGAAUCCUGGAAGCCUUGCAGUUCCUUCAGGAAAAAGAUAUGCCUUGCUAAGUGCAGGACGUUCAUAAGGAGCCACCGCCUCCUUGGAGAUGAUAGCCAAUUCACCUGGAUUAAACCCCUGCUUGCCAAACUCCCUAGCUGCAUAUCCAGCGGCGACGCCACCACCGACGAUCACGUACUUGAAGCUUUUCUCCGCCAUUUGAUUAUUUUCUCCUCUGCUUCCUCCGGUGCUUUUCACUGUGCUUCUUGCAAAUGAGCAAAUUAUAAAGGACAAGUGAUGUAUUCUAUUUUUGUAAUUGGUCAGACAUUUAUAGGGCGAUUAACUCGCGAUUGGCUGACCUUUUGGACACCAGGAUUUUCUGCUAACGUUCCGUUAACGGUAAACACUAUUUAGUCACGUGGCGAGUCGCUUGCCGUCCAUCACUUGCUGAACCAGUCUUCGCCACGACACCGGGACCGCUUAAAGGAUCACUGCCGUCCACGUUGAUUUCCUUGCCCAAAACUGCCCAAAUCAAUUGUUUCUGGUAAUUUUUUAGCACGAGAAAUGCUAUCCGAU
This 2144-nucleotide unclassified non-coding RNA is filed under the name Hevea brasiliensis (rubber tree). The record is from RNAcentral. Lineage: Eukaryota; Viridiplantae; Streptophyta; Magnoliopsida; Malpighiales; Euphorbiaceae.